CAUUUGUUUAUUUUUGUUGGCCCACCCAAAAUGUCACUUGGCCCACCCUAAAGUUCCAAGCUGGAGCCGGGCCUGAUCACAGAGGUGAUUUAUUCUAGUCUCAACGUUACAGGGAGGCUUUUAUUGAGUACAGUACAGAAAUUAAGAAAGCAUCUUUUACAUUUGCUAUUUAUUAUUAGUUUUUAUUAUUAUUUUAUUGUCAAACAGUGAUUACAUCAGCUUUCUGAUUGCUGGUGUUUGUGUGUGCUUUUUCUGCAGAGCUGUUGUGAUGGAGCUUGACCUGUAGACAAGGGAACUAACAUAUUUGAGGAAAAAAGAAUCCAAAAUAAGAGAUUGGUGUGUGUGGUGAGGGUAAAGAAGUCCACAGCAGCAUCCUGGAAAUGCUGUAAUGCAGGGGUGCCCAAACUCAGUUCUGGACGGCUGGUGUCCUGUAGAGUUUAGAGUCAACUUCAACUAAACUCUGCAAGACAGCAGCAGUUCUGGACUGAGUUUGGCCACUCCUGUUCUCCUGUAGUGAAUUGAACAAUACCCUGCAUCAGUCCAUCUGCCCUUGUGUCCUCAUCUGGACCAAAUGUUGCUGUGGUCUCUUCAUCAUCAGUAUCUCGGGCAUGGACUGCCAUGCAUCACCGUUCUUUUUCAGUCUGACUGCAGCAGUGAGGGAUGUGAUGAUGGCGAAGUCCCUCUGAUCAUCUGCAGAACUGGCCCAGCUGUGUGGAGAUACAGCAAAACAUGGGCUUCUGUCUGUAAUACAUCUCUGUUAGAAUAAAGCUUGGUUUCAUGUGUUGUUGACUUG
Non-coding RNA from Danio rerio (zebrafish), 793 nucleotides. The record is from RefSeq and is a predicted model, not a curated record. NCBI's taxonomy places the organism in Eukaryota, Metazoa, Chordata, Actinopteri, Cypriniformes, Danionidae.